GACAGAGGGUGCAAACGUUGUUCGGAUUUACUGGGCGUAAAGGGCUUGUAGGCGGUUUGUUAAGUCUGGUGUGAAAUCUCCCGGCUCAACCGGGAGGGGUCAUCGGAUACUGGCAGACUAGAGACGGGUAGAGGAAAGCAGAAUUCCCGGUGUAGCGGUGAAAUGCGUAGAUAUCGGGAGGAAUACCAGUGGCGAAGGCGGCUUUCUGGGCCUGUUCUGACGCUGAGGAGCGAAAGCGUGGGGAGCAAACCGG
RNAcentral lists this ribosomal RNA (253 nucleotides) under uncultured bacterium. RNAcentral describes it as "partial 16S ribosomal RNA". It matches the Rfam family "Bacterial small subunit ribosomal RNA", at positions 524 to 776 of the family's 1533-position model. The record is from RNAcentral.